AUUGAACGCUGGCGGCAGGCCUAACACAUGCAAGUCGAGCGGAGCGGCGGACGGGUGAGUAAUGCCUAGGGAUCUGCCUGGUAGUGGGGGAUACCGUUCGGAACCGGGCGCUAAUACCGCAUACUCGCAGAUGAGCCUAGGUCGGAUUAGCUAGUUGGUGGGGUAAAGGCCUACCAAGGCGACGAUCCGUAACUGGUCAGGGAGGAUGAUCAGUAACACUGGAACUGAGACACGGCCCAGACUCCUACGGGAGGCAGCAGUGGGGAAGAUUGCACAAUGGGCGAAAUCCUGAUACAGCCAUGCCGCGUGUGUGAAGAAGGUCUUCGGAUUGUAAAGCACUUUAAGUUGGGAGGCGUUACCAACAGAAUAAGCACCGGCUAACUUCGUGCCAGCAGCCGCGGUAAGUC
Molecule: ribosomal RNA, 407 nt
Filed under: uncultured bacterium
Lineage: Bacteria
Description: partial 16S ribosomal RNA
Rfam family: Bacterial small subunit ribosomal RNA
Source: RNAcentral